Molecule: long non-coding RNA, 1094 nt
Organism: Cyprinus carpio carpio
Lineage: Eukaryota; Metazoa; Chordata; Actinopteri; Cypriniformes; Cyprinidae
Source: Ensembl
GAAAAUGUUUAAUAGUGUAUAGAGAGCAAAAACAGAUCUGAGGUGGAGGAGGGAUUCCGGAAGGACUGUUGGAAGAAGUGAAGUGAACAACUAUUUAUAUUCUCUUAUCGUUGUUAUGGUGGAAUUAUAUGGGGCAUCUGCCCUCCAAACAUUAAUUAGGAAACUCUAUCGGUGAGAACUUUCCAGAAGAUACCACUACCAGACUGUGCAUGCAGUGAUUCAGUCUCUUUCAUCACAGAUUGUCCCCCAACCUAUUUAUUCUCUCCUCUUCUUACACCAGCCAUUUGCAUGAUUACGGUCUAACUCCAUUCAUGACAGUUCUGUUUCUGCUCACGUUCUGGUUUAAUCCAUCGGCAGUUUUUCAUUAUACACAAAUCCAUUAAAAGGCUGAUGAGGGCAACAGGGUGAAGGUUCUCAAUCGUGUCACAUUUAACACGCCGGACAUCACAUUCAAACAAGGGCUUGUAUUUCACAGAAUUACAGGAUAUAGUGCAGCAAUGUCUUGUAUAUAUAGAUAAAGGGAUUACCAUGGAAAACUCCACAGAGAGAUUUGAUGCUUAAACCGUUUUUUUGAAUUGUCUAAGCACAUGAAUAAGAUAGAAAAAUAGAGAUGUGAAGCAUGAUAGUGGACAGAGAUAUCCUGACCUGGGUUCUCUAAUCCAGAUUAACAGAUACAUAGCUAUUUAUAACUCAGUUACGUCAGUAAAGGCAUAAAUAAAUAAAUAAAUAAAUAAAUAAAUAAAUAAAUAAAUAAAUAAAUAAAUUAUUUUUUUCGUAUAAUGGCAAUAAAUUGUAUAAUUGAAUCUUGUCUCUCUUUCAUGUGUAUCUCGCAUCAUCCAGUUUUAUUUUUAUUUUUAUAUAAUACAUAUUUUUCCAUCAGCAUUUUUAAAAUCAGUUUAAUUAGUUUAAUUGAAAGUUUGGCACUAUGCCAAAGUGGUCUGUUUACUGAUAACGAAAAUAGAUUUUUUAUUAUUUUAAUUUUUAUAUGUUUUUUUUUUAGGUCAUGCAAUGUAUGGCAUAACACACAGUCAAUUGGUUAUGUUAUGUUAUGUUAUGUGAUGUUAUGUUAUAUGUUAUGUUAUUUUAUGUACUAG